AGUGAACGCUGGCGGUAGGCCUAACACAUGCAAGUCGAACGGCAGCACAGUAAGAGCUUGCUCUUACGGGUGGCGAGUGGCGGACGGGUGAGGAAUACAUCGGAAUCUACUUUUUCGUGGGGGUUAACGUAGGGAAACUUACGCUAAUACCGCAUACGACCUACGGGUGAAAGCAGUGGAUCUUCGGACCUUGCGCGAUUGAAUGAGCCGAUGUCGGAUUAGUUAGUUGGCGGGGUAAAGGCCGACCAAGGCGACGAUCCGUAGCUGGUCUGAGAGAAUGAUCAGCCACACUGGAACUGAAACACGGUCCAGAGUCCUACGAGAGGCAGCAGUGGGGAAUAUUGGACAAUAGGCGCAAGCCUGAUCCAGCCAUACCGCGUGGGAGAAGAAGGCCUUCGGGUUGUAAAGCCCUUUUGUUGGGAGAGAAAAGCAGCAGGUUAAUACCCCGCUGUUCUGACGGUACCAAAAGAAUAAGCACCGGCUAACUACGUG
This 492-nucleotide ribosomal RNA is filed under the name uncultured bacterium. Its description in RNAcentral is "partial 16S ribosomal RNA". It matches the Rfam family "Bacterial small subunit ribosomal RNA", at positions 29 to 507 of the family's 1533-position model. The record is from RNAcentral.